UUUGCAUGAUAAGUUUAUGCCUUGAGCGGUAUAAAGGCUGACGUUAUAUGACAGUUCGAAUGGAACCAAAUUUAAAACGAUAAUAGAAUGGGAGUUAUGUUUCCUUAGUUUUUAUUAUUCGUAGAUAU
Long non-coding RNA from Aricia agestis (brown argus), 128 nucleotides. RefSeq lists it as uncharacterized. The record is from RefSeq and is a predicted model, not a curated record. Lineage: Eukaryota; Metazoa; Arthropoda; Insecta; Lepidoptera; Lycaenidae. The transcript is spliced from 4 exons.